Molecule: long non-coding RNA, 449 nt
Filed under: Lathyrus oleraceus (garden pea)
Lineage: Eukaryota; Viridiplantae; Streptophyta; Magnoliopsida; Fabales; Fabaceae
Description: Pisum sativum (pea) long non-coding RNA (PSAT_LNC033444)
Source: RNAcentral
AGGUAAUUUUCUAUGUCUCUUUCAACUCCAUUAUUUAUUUUUUAUCUAUUUCUUUCCAUUUUUGUUAGAGUUUGUCAUUUCUUCUCUUUUAUUUUGUGGGUUUUAUGUUUCUUUUCUUUAAUCUUUUAAGGUUUGUGUAAUUUUUUUAUUCCUUUUAUUUGUGCUUGUAAUGAAAUAUUUUUGUUUUAAUUCUUUAGGGUUUUAUUUUUAAUUUUGUGAGUUUUUAGUGAAGUUUAGGUUUGGUUAAAAUAAUCAUAAUGAGAUCAAUUUAUUGAUUUCUAAUAACUGUUUAGAUUGAGCCAUGUUAAUAAGUACACAAGAUGUUUAUUUAUAUUUAUAUAAAGUGAAUGUAACAUUGUAUGGAAGAAUUGAAGCAUGCAGGGGCAAUAGGAACCAUAUUUGAUAUUGUAUGAUUGACUGUUAAAUUGGUGGGAUGGAUCAAAUUCAUU